RNAcentral lists this ribosomal RNA (560 nucleotides) under Brevibacterium permense. RNAcentral's name for it is "bacterial SSU rRNA". It matches the Rfam family "Bacterial small subunit ribosomal RNA", at positions 917 to 1472 of the family's 1533-position model. The record is from RNAcentral. Lineage: Bacteria; Bacillati; Actinomycetota; Actinomycetes; Micrococcales; Brevibacteriaceae.
GGGCCCGCACAAGCGGCGGAGCAUGCGGAUUAAUUCGAUGCAACGCGAAGAACCUUACCAAGGCUUGACAUACACUGGACCGUUCUGGAAACAGUUCUUCUCUUUGGAGCUGGUGUACGGGUGGUGCAUGGUUGUCGUCAGCUCGUGUCGUGAGAUGUUGGGUUAAGUCCCGCAACGAGCGCAACCCUCGUUCUAUGUUGCCAGCACGUGAUGGUGGGAACUCAUAGGAGACUGCCGGGGUCAACUCGGAGGAAGGUGGGGAUGACGUCAAAUCAUCAUGCCCUUUAUGUCUUGGGCUUCACGCAUGCUACAAUGGCUGGUACAGAGAGAGGCGAACCCGUGAGGGUAAGCGAAUCCCUUAAAGCCAGUCUCAGUUCGGAUCGUAGUCUGCAAUUCGACUACGUGAAGUCGGAGUCGCUAGUAAUCGCAGAUCAGCAACGCUGCGGUGAAUACGUUCCCGGGCCUUGUACACACCGCCCGUCAAGUCACGAAAGUCGGUAACACCCGAAGCCGGUGUCCCAACCCACUUGUGGGAGGGGGCCGUCUAAGGUGGGACUGGU